RNAcentral lists this ribosomal RNA (266 nucleotides) under uncultured bacterium. RNAcentral describes it as "partial 16S ribosomal RNA". It matches the Rfam family "Bacterial small subunit ribosomal RNA", at positions 92 to 354 of the family's 1533-position model. The record is from RNAcentral.
CGACCGGCGCACGGGUGAGUAACACGUAUGGAACCUGCCCUAUGCAGGGGGACAAGCGGAAGAAAUUCCGUCUAAUACCGCAUAACACCUUUAGGAGACAUCUUCUUGGGGUCAAAGGAGGCGACUCCGGCAUAGGAUGGCCAUGCGUCGCAUUAGCUAGUCGGCGGGGUAACGGCCCACCGAGGCGACGAUGCGUAGGGGUUCUGAGAGGAAGGUCCCCCACACUGGUACUGAGACACGGACCAGACUCCUACGGAAGGCAGCAG